AGUUUCCCCAUGCAUAAUGGCUUGUUUGCAAAUUUCUCUUUCAGUGUGUGAAGCAGAUGCCUUUUGUAUGAGCCUGAAGUGGAGGAUGUGCAUGAAGAACACAUAACUCACUCCACCCACUGAGAGGUCAUUUGCCUAGUGGGCAAUCUAGUAAAGUAGCUAUGUGUCAAAGGAUUUGCUAACAGCUGGAGAUAUUUGAAAAUGCAACCUCUUCCUUUCGUUGAGAAAGAAUUGGCCUGUAGCCCUUGCAAUAUUGCAGAGAUUUGAGGCUGCACUAACUCACAUUAGCUGACAUGUUCCUCAAGUUGAGAGCAAGCACUUGGACAAGUGUCAGAGGCUGACUCUCCAAACGGUGAGUUGAUCAUCUCAACAAGCCUGUAAUUUCUAGGUUAAGAAAUCUGUGACCCCUCUCCUUGUUUUCUCUCUCUUUUU
This is a long non-coding RNA of Apus apus (common swift), 432 nucleotides long. RefSeq lists it as uncharacterized. NCBI's taxonomy places the organism in Eukaryota, Metazoa, Chordata, Aves, Apodiformes, Apodidae. The transcript has 3 exons. The record is from RefSeq and is a predicted model, not a curated record.